UACGUAGGUGGCGAGCGUUGCUCGGAAUUACUGGGCGUAAAGGGCGCGUAGGCGGCACUGUUAGUCAGGCGUGAAAGUCCUGGGCUCAACCUGGGAACUGCGCUUGAUACGGCAGAGCUAGAGGAUGGAAGAGGGUCGCGGAAUUCCCAGUGUAGAGGUGAAAUUCGUAGAUAUUGGGAAGAACACCGGUGGCGAAGGCGGCGACCUGGUCCAUUACUGACGCUGAGGCGCGACAGCGUGGGGAGCAAACAGG
RNAcentral lists this ribosomal RNA (253 nucleotides) under uncultured bacterium. Its description in RNAcentral is "partial 16S ribosomal RNA". It matches the Rfam family "Bacterial small subunit ribosomal RNA", at positions 524 to 776 of the family's 1533-position model. The record is from RNAcentral.